AAACAUUAUUGAAUUUGAAUGAUAAAUCGAUUUCUUUGCACUCCCUUACAGUCAACAUACUUUUAAAAUGCCAUCACAAAAAGUAAAAGAAUAUAAAAAUGAAGAUGUUGUAUGAUUGCCACUGUGAGAACUCCACAAAAGAGACCAAAUGACACAUAAAUUAACAACCAAAGGCCACCGUAUGACCGGCCUUUAACAAUGAGAAAAGGCCAUAACGCGUAGUCAGCUAUAAAAGGACCGAAAAUUACAAAUGUUAAACAAAUCAAAAGGAAAACUAACGGCCUAAUUUAAGUCCAAAAUAGUGAAAGAAAAACAAAUAUGUUACACAGCAACAAAUGUCAACCACAGAAUUGCAGGCUUCUGGCUUGGGACAGGC
Molecule: long non-coding RNA, 376 nt
Filed under: Mytilus galloprovincialis (Mediterranean mussel)
Lineage: Eukaryota; Metazoa; Mollusca; Bivalvia; Mytilida; Mytilidae
Source: RNAcentral